RNA transcript from Rhagoletis pomonella (apple maggot), 4004 nucleotides. It is a transcript of the gene named polyhomeotic-proximal chromatin protein, with no coding region annotated. The transcript has 15 exons. Lineage: Eukaryota; Metazoa; Arthropoda; Insecta; Diptera; Tephritidae. The record is from RefSeq and is a predicted model, not a curated record.
ACGUAUACAUUUGUAUGUAAAUAUACAUAUCAGUCAUAAUGUACUUUCCCUGCCAAGCGCAAACAACCGUAAACAAAAGCAACAGAACCAAAAGCACCAAUUACUACAUACACGUGGUUCAGGCCGGCGUUGCGCCAUAUCCAGGCGCUCCGGCUGGCUACCCACCGGCCGGGGCACAGGUGGGCACCACCAACCCGGACAGCCUCUCAAUGGCAGUGGCGGCCAUCAAAACUGAGUCCGUGUCACAAAUGAAGCCCGAAGGUGGAACUGCCGCUUCAGCUGCCGCAAAUGCAGCCACAUCGGCCGCUGCCAUACAGAUGUACAUGCAACAGAAGAAGACAAAUCUGCCAACGGCAUCAUCACAGUUCAACGGCUGCAACAACACAUCCAUCGCAGCGGCCACAGCAACAACUACGACGACAGCGGGUAUCGUGAAUUCGCCUCUGCUAGGCGGCGUUCCUGCGCAACAACACAAUGGCGGCCUUGGGAUCGCGCUUAGCAAUGGGCUGUCGGCCGCCGCCAUGAAUGGUCUUGAGCACAAACACCAACAGCACCAGCACCAGCACCAGCUGCACCAGCAACAACAGUUGCAAAUGCUGCAGCAUCACCGAUCUCAUCCUCACUUCAGCCACCAAAUGCACCUGCAGCAGACACAACAGCAACCCCCGCAGUCACAGCCACUGACGCCGGCAACGACUCCGACUCUGACUCCGACGCCAAAUUUGACGCUGGCGUCUUCGCAGGCCCAGUCGCAGCCGCAGCCGCAACCGCAGCCGCAACCGCAAAGUAUUGUUAUAUCCUCAGUAUUGAUUAAAAAUGAGCCAGACAUCAGCGUCGCCCAACAACAGCAGCAGCAGCAGCAACAGCAGCAGCAGCAGCAGCAAAGCAGUUCAAGCAGUACUGGCAUUGGAUCGGAUGGUGGAGGCAGCUGCAACACGUCAAUGUCUGUAACUUCCGGCACUGGAGGCCCUGCAACCACAGCUGCAGCUAACACUAACACUAACACGAACAACUGCAUAAGCAGUAUGAGUCAGACUGUAAACGGAAGCGGCCCAUCGGCUGCCACAGUCUCGUCGGUCGUCGACAGCAGUGCUGCCAACGCGAAUGGCGUUGCCGCCGUUACAACCACCGCCACACCCGGCAACGCCGGAGAUUUGCUCGCCAGCGGCCACCAACAACAACUAAUGAUUGGCAUAGGAGGCAGUCAGGCCACGGGUGGCACUGCCGCCACCUCCGUUACCGCCACAUCAGCCGCUACGGGCACCCUGGCUGCGACUAGCAGUGCUGCUAGCGUCACCAACGCUGGAUUGUUGCCCUCAAUCAUGUCCGCGCCGCAGUCAGUAGCUGGCUCAGUUGACUCGGGAUCGAUUGUAUCGCCGUUGGUGAGCGGCGCGAGCACCUCGCAGGUUAUCGCCUGUCUAAACGCGGCCAGCGCCGGUGGUGGCAUAAUUACCUCUGCCGGGCCGUCCACACCCGCAGCCACUAGUCUCACUUCGGCUCUAGUCCCACUGCAUCAGCAGCAGCAGCAGCAGCAGCAGCAAGCCAUCAUUGAUGCCAAAAAUCAACCAAAGCGUUUGCACGUUUCGAAUAUACCAUUUAGAUUUCGUGAUCCCGACCUUCGCGCCAUGUUUGGGCAAUUUGGUACCAUUUUGGAUGUGGAAAUCAUCUUCAAUGAGCGCGGCAGCAAGGGUUUUGGCUUUGUUACGUUCGCAAAUAGCACCGACGCUGAACGAGCACGCGAGCGUCUUCACGGCACUGUGGUUGAGGGACGCAAAAUAGAGGUGAACAACGCCACGGCUCGUGUGCAGACCAAAAAAGUUACAGCUCUUCCAAAUGUUGUACUGACAAAAGACGGUGCCAUACCGGCUCAAGCUCUAGUGUGCGUGCAAUGGCCAGAAGCAACGGUAGCUGCUGCCGCCGCCAUGCGUGGCGUCGCCAUCCAACGCAGUCAUAUGGGAGUUGUAGGGGCGCCAUUCAACCCAGCAUUGGCCGCCGUCGCUGUGGCCGCCCAGCAACAACAGCAUCACCAUCACCAUCAUCACCAGGCACACCACCAUUCGCACCACGCCGCGCAACAAGCGGCGCACCACCAAUUGGGAAUGCAGCAGGCGCUGCACAUGCAGUCCGCAAACGCCACAAAUCAGGCCCAUGCCGCUGCCGCCGCCGCGAUACAGAAUAGCGCCGCCGCCCAGCAGCAACUGCAAUCGCUGGCCCAAUCAGCUGCAGCCGCUGCAGCCAACACUCCGCAGGCGGCCAACGCUGCAGCAGCUGCAUACGCAGCUCGCUUGGGCGCCACAGGCGCGGCCGCACAGACGCCAUCCGCUGCUGCUGCUGCAUCGAUUGCCGCCGCAGCAAAUGCAGCCGGUACCGCCUUGCACGGAUUCACACCCGUUUACUAUGAUCCCUUCUUAGCAGCCGCUGCAGCUUCCGCCGAUCCAAAUUUGCGAUUCCAGGCAGCCAAACCGGUCUCGGAAGUUCCAGCCGCACAGCCAGCAGCCAUUCUAAAUCGCCGCACUGUGACAACGCUAAACAGUUCCCCACAUACGAUCAACCGCAUUCCGGUUCCACAAAACGUUUUGGCUACAGCACCGCUGCUAAAGACUCCGCUGUCUCAAGCACAGCAGGCGUACGCAACGGCUGCCACCACAUAUACGGCUGUGGCGGCUAGGGCUGCUUAUGGCGCUGCUGCCGCCGCUGCACAGCCAGCACUGGCCGGUUACGCCACCGUCGCGGGGUAAGUUUCGCUUGAAAGUGUGCAGACUCUAAUUAUUACGCGCAAAUUCGCAACAUAGCCACUAAUCCUCCACUAAUACCAUCUUCCCUAACUUACGAUUUAUUCCCUCCAACAUUGUAUAUGCAUGUAAUUCAUAUCGUGCAUAUCGAGACCUUACCGUAGUUUAGAUGUAACCAACAAUAAUGCAAUUUUAUAGAAAAAAAAAACUUUACAAAAUUUAGCUACUGCCUUUCCGGAUUUUUAAUCUAUCAAUACAGUUUUUCUAUGGCUUUGGCUUCAGAGAAAAAGCUUCCAGUGUUAGUAAAAAAGUGUGAAUGUAUCGAAACUUGAAGGCAAGUUCUUGGUCGGGUUACGUCGAAUUUAUUAAAGCACAUAACGCUCACAUCGCAUCCAAAAGGAAAAAUCUUUUUAGCAAGGCCCUGUCUGAAAGCGUUUAUUUAGAAGCGCUGCUUAAUUUGCCAACUGGUUUCCUAUUUCUGCCACAUUCAAUUUUUUUUUGUUUUAUUUGCCAUCGUGUUUUUACAUAUAUUUAGUAUAAGACCAAAAAAUCUGCACAACGUACUCCCUCUUCCAAAGAGCCACAGCUAAAAAUCAGAUCCGGAAAUAUAACAGCUUGAACAUAUUCAACGCAAGUAAUACAAAAAUAGGUAUAACAGUUCAUUUAUGAAAAACAUCUACAUACCUAUUUUUUUUAGUUGUUUUGAAAAAUGUGAGUGGUAUGUAUGUUUUUGGUAUCAAUUAUACCAUAAAAUACGCUUAGCUCGGCUAAAAUACAAAUAAAAAUUGUUUUCGAGAUAGGUACUUGGGCACUCUUUUCUAGACUUGAAUGUGAAUCGAAAGCCUCAAGCGCAUUAUUUAUUUCGAACGGGUUACCACCGUGGGCCUAAUUAUCGUUGCCAAUUUACUUAAAAUUAAAAUCGUCGAUUCCCAAAACUAAGCUGUUUUUGUUUAAUCUAUUCGAAAUGUUGUUAAAAAAGACAUUUGCAGAAAUUUGUCUGUAGAACUUGGUUGAUUGGCGAAAUUUCAUAACGAGACAGCCACAUUAUGAGACCUUUAAGAAAAGGAGAUAUCUUGCUUGCGAUCCCGCUAAUUUGGACAACAGACCGUAACUAGGAAUAACGGAGUUUCAUAAUGGUUUUCUCUGAAGGAAGCCGUGAAGAAUUAGGGUUGUCAUUAGAACCAAAGCUUUAGACCUUAAUAUCAAUUUAGUUAGUGAAUUUUUGUUAUUAUUUUUUCCUCUAAUUUUACCCACUGAUUUAAUUUUUUUCUU